Molecule: ribosomal RNA, 460 nt
Filed under: uncultured bacterium
Lineage: Bacteria
Description: partial 16S ribosomal RNA
Rfam family: Bacterial small subunit ribosomal RNA
Source: RNAcentral
CCUACGGGUGGCAGCAGUGAGGAAUAUUGGUCAAUGGGCGGAAGCCUGAACCAGCCAAGUAGCGUGCAGGAUGACGGCCCUACGGGUUGUAAACUGCUUUUAUACGGGAAUAACGCGCCUUACGUGUAGGGCUUUGCAUGUACCGUAUGAAUAAGGACCGGCUAAUUCCGUGCAAGCAGCCGCGGUAAGACGGAAGGUCCGGGCGUUAGCCGGAUUUAUGGGGUUUAAAGGGGGCGGAGGCCGAAUGUCAAGCGUGAUGUGAAAUGUCCGGGCUCAACCCGGGCCGUGCAGCGCGAACUGGCGUGCUUGAGUCCGCGGAAAGCAGGCGGAAUUCGUGGUGUAGCGGUGAAAUGCUUAGAUAUGACGAAGAACCCCGAUGGCGAAGGCAGCUUGCUGCAGCGGAACUGACGCUGAUGCUCGAAAGCGCGGGUAUCGAACAGGAUUAGAUACCCGUGUAGUC